Molecule: ribosomal RNA, 1111 nt
Filed under: uncultured bacterium
Lineage: Bacteria
Description: bacterial SSU rRNA
Rfam family: Bacterial small subunit ribosomal RNA
Source: RNAcentral
AGAGUUUGAUCCUGGCUCAGAACGAACGCUGGCGGCGUGCCUAACACAUGCAAGUCGAACGGAUUUGAGGGGCUUGCUCCUCAAGUUAGUGGCGCACGGGGGAGUAACGCGUAGAUAAUCUGCCUGACGAUCUGGGAUAACACUUCGAAAGGGGUGCUAAUACCGGAUAAGCCCACGGAGUCUUUGGACUUUGCGGGAAAAGGGGGGGACCUUCGGGCCUUCUGUCGUCAGAUGAGUCUGCGUACCAUUAGCUAGUUGGUAGGGUAAAGGCCUACCAAGGCUACGAUGGUUAGCUGGUCUGAGAGGAUGAUCAGCCACACUGGAACUGAGACACGGUCCAGACUCCUACGGGAGGCAGCAGUGGGGAAUUUUGCGCAAUGGGCGAAAGCCUGACGCAGCAACGCCGCGUGAGUGAUGAAGGCUUUCGGGUCGUAAAGCUCUGUCGAUGGGAAAGAAGUGUAUUGUGGUUAAUACCCAUGAUACUUGACGGUACCCAUAAAGGAAGCACCGGCUAACUCCGUGCCAGCAGCCGCGGUAAUACGGGGGGUGCAAGCGUUGUUCGGAAUUAUUGGGCGUAAAGCGCGUGUAGGCGGUUUGAUUAGUCUGAUGUGAAAGCCCUGGGCUCAACCCAGGAAGUGCAUUGGAAACUGGCAGACUUGAAUACGGGAGGGGGUGAUGGAAUUCCGGUGUAGCGGUGAAAUGCGUAGAUAUCAAGAGGAACACCGGUGGCGAAAGCGACUCUCUAGACUGAUACUGACACUGAGGCAUGAAAGCUAGGGGAGCAAACAGGAUUAGAUACCCUGGUAGUCCUAGCCGUAAACGGUGUGAACUUGGUGUGGGAGGAAUUAUCCCCUUCCGUGCCGUAGCUAACGCGUUAAGUGUACCGCCUGGGGAGUACGGCCGCAAGGUUAAAACUCAAAGAAAUUGACGGGGGCCCGCACAAGCGGUGGAGCAUGUGGCUUAAUUCGAUGCAACGCGAAGAACCUUACCUGGGCUUGACAUGUAACUGCACGCCCCGUGAAAAUGGGGCUCCUUCGAGGGUGUUGCACAGGUGCUGCAUGGCUGUCGUCAGUUCGUGCCGUGAGGUGUUGGGUUAAGUCCCGCAACGAAC